UACAGAGGGUGCGAGCGUUAAUCGGAAUUACUGGGCGUAAAGCGCACGUAGGCGGCUUGGUAUGUCGGGUGUGAAAUCCCCGGGCUCAACCUGGGAACUGCAUCCGAAACUGCCUUGCUCGAGUAUGGGAGAGGGAAGUGGAAUUUCCGGUGUAGCGGUGAAAUGCGUAGAUAUCGGAAGGAACACCGGUGGCGAAGGCGGCCCUCUGGACGGUGACUGACGCUGAGACGCGAAAGCGUGGGGAGCAAACAGG
RNAcentral lists this ribosomal RNA (253 nucleotides) under uncultured bacterium. RNAcentral's name for it is "partial 16S ribosomal RNA". It matches the Rfam family "Bacterial small subunit ribosomal RNA", at positions 524 to 776 of the family's 1533-position model. The record is from RNAcentral.